CAUUACGUCGUGGUGAGGACGAUGGGUUGAGUCAGUAAUGAACGGUUGGCCAGUGGGAGCGAAGAACGUGUAGAUACAGGGACCAAAGGAGCCAAUUACCUCAGAUGGGUGGAUCCACAAUAUGGCAGUAUAACUCGGACCCCAGCAUAGAUCAUUGAGGGAGCUGUAGUAAGGAUGAGGGCAUCGCUGGCGAGGCAGGAUUUAUUGCCCAUCCCUAAUUG
Molecule: long non-coding RNA, 221 nt
Organism: Rhincodon typus (whale shark)
Lineage: Eukaryota; Metazoa; Chordata; Chondrichthyes; Orectolobiformes; Rhincodontidae
Exons: 3
Source: RefSeq, a predicted model, not a curated record